AACUUUUGACAAUGGAUCACUUGGUUCUCGCAUCGAUGAAGAACGCAGCGAAUUGCGAUAUGUAAUGUGAAUUACAGAAUUCAGUGAAUCAUCGAAUCUUUGAACGCACAUUGCACCCUCUGGUAUUCCGGAGGGUAUGCCUGUUUGAGUGUCAUUAAUCUAUCAACACAGACUGGUUUUACCACUUGUUCUGAUGCUUGGAUGUUGAAGGCUUGCCGGCAUUCAUUGCCAGCUCCUUUUAAAUGCAUUAGCAGAAACAUACAAAGCUGGCUUCAGUUUGAUAAUAAUAUUUUAUCUGUAUUGCUGUUGCUAGUGAUAGUUAAUUGUUUCAGCUUCCAAUUGUCCUUAUGGGGACUGUCUCAUUAGAGGCAUAAUAUUUGACAGUUGACCUCAAAUCAGGUAGGACUACCCGCUGAACUUAAGCAUAUCAAUAAGCGGAG
RNAcentral lists this unclassified non-coding RNA (440 nucleotides) under uncultured Agaricomycetes. Its description in RNAcentral is "sequence contains ITS2". The stretch from base 1 to 154 matches the Rfam family "5.8S ribosomal RNA". The record is from RNAcentral. Lineage: Eukaryota; Fungi; Basidiomycota; Agaricomycetes.